CCUACGGGAGGCUGCAGUGAGGAAUAUUGGUCAAUGGGCGAGAGCCUGAACCAGCCAAGUCGCGUGAGGGAGUACUGCCCUAUGGGUUGUAAACCUCUUUUGUCGGGGAGCAAAAGCCGGACGUGUCCGGCUGUGAGAGUACCCGAAGAAAAAGCAUCGGCUAACUCCGUGCCAGCAGCCGCGGUAAUACGGAGGAUGCGAGCGUUAUACGGAUUUAUUGGGUUUAAAGGGUGCGCAGGCGGAGUUUUAAGUCAGCGGUAAAAUCGUGGGGCUCAACCCCAUCCAGCCGUUGAAACUGGGGAUCUAGAGUGUGCGAGAGGUAUGCGGAAUGCGUGGUGUAGCGGUGAAAUGCAUAGAUAUCACGCAGAACCCCGAUUGCGAAGGCAGCAUACCGGUGCACAACUGACGCUCAGGCACGAAAGCGUGGGUAUCGAACAGGAUUAGAUACCCUUGUAGUC
This 458-nucleotide ribosomal RNA is filed under the name uncultured bacterium. Its description in RNAcentral is "partial 16S ribosomal RNA". It matches the Rfam family "Bacterial small subunit ribosomal RNA", at positions 338 to 795 of the family's 1533-position model. The record is from RNAcentral.